This 460-nucleotide ribosomal RNA is filed under the name uncultured bacterium. RNAcentral's name for it is "partial 16S ribosomal RNA". It matches the Rfam family "Bacterial small subunit ribosomal RNA", at positions 338 to 795 of the family's 1533-position model. The record is from RNAcentral.
CCUACGGGUGGCAGCAGUGAGGAAUAUUGGUCAAUGGGCGCGAGCCUGAACCAGCCAAGUAGCGUGAAGGAUGACUGCCCUACGGGCUGUAAACUUCUUUUAUAAAGGAAUAAAGUGAGGCACGUGAGCCUCCUUGUAUGUACUUUAUGAAUAAGGAUCGGCUAACUCCGUGCCAGCAGCCGCGGUAAUACGGAGGAUCCGAGCGUUAUCCGGAUUUAUUGGGUUUAAAGGGAGCGUAGAUGGGUUGAUAAGUCAGUUGUGAAAGUUUGCGGCUCAACCGUAGAAUUGCAAUUGAUACUGGCAGUCUGGAGUGCAGUUGAGGUGGGCGGAAUUCGUGGUGUAGCGGUGAAAUGCUUAGAUAUCGCGAAGAACUCCAGUGGCGAAGGCAGCUUACUAGACUGCAACUGACAUUGAUGCUCGAAAGUGUGGGUAGCAAACAGGAUUAGAUACCCCUGUAGUC